UGAGGAAUAUUGGGCAAUGCCCGCAAGGGUGACCCAGCAACGCCGCGUGGAGGAUGAAUGUCGUAAGAUUGUAAACUCCUGUUAGAGGGGAAGAAUAGUACCGGUUGGACCGGUAUAUGACUGUACCCUCAGAGAAAGCCCCGGCUAACUACGUGCCAGCAGCCGCGGUAAUACGUAGGGGGCAAGCGUUGUCCGGAUUUACUGGGUGUAAAGGGCGCGCAGGCGGGAUAAAAAGUCAGUGGUGAAAUCCUACAGCUUAACUGUAGAACUGCCUUUGAUACUUUUAUUCUUGAGUUCGGGAGAGAGAGACGGAAUUCCAGGUGUAGUGGUGAAAUACGUAAAUAUCUGGAAGAACACCAGUUGCGAAGGCGGUCUCUUGGUCCGACACUGACGCUGAGGCGCGAAAGCGUGGGGAGCAAACA
Molecule: ribosomal RNA, 422 nt
Filed under: uncultured bacterium
Lineage: Bacteria
Description: bacterial SSU rRNA
Rfam family: Bacterial small subunit ribosomal RNA
Source: RNAcentral